Molecule: long non-coding RNA, 376 nt
Filed under: Gossypium barbadense (sea-island cotton)
Lineage: Eukaryota; Viridiplantae; Streptophyta; Magnoliopsida; Malvales; Malvaceae
Description: long non-coding RNA (GBAR_LNC006076)
Source: RNAcentral
GUGGUUACAAGGACGCCUGAGGGUGGGAUCUGGCGGAGGUCGCUCCAGGAGAAGUAUUGUAGAAGGACGUGGUAGCGCAGGAUGUCACCUAGUGACGACGGUGGGAGGCGGCGCGUGAGGUCGGAGGAAGGGGACGUGGAGAGGUACGAGUUCGGAACGGCGAGUAAAGUAACGGGGUCGCGGCGCGUGAGAUCAGGGGCGACGGAGGUGGAGCAGAGGAGGGAGGAGAAGGAGGUAAGGUUUUGGAAGGAGGAGAGGAUGGAGGUUAUGUUGAGAGCAGAGGUGGUGGUGGUGGUGGUGAUGGUGGAGGAUAGGAGGAGGAGGAGGAGUAAAUAAAACAAUGUGAUAGGGGUAAUAUGGGAAAUGGAGACUGAAA